RNAcentral lists this ribosomal RNA (909 nucleotides) under Leifsonia sp. Spdeb19. RNAcentral describes it as "bacterial SSU rRNA". It matches the Rfam family "Bacterial small subunit ribosomal RNA", at positions 53 to 972 of the family's 1533-position model. The record is from RNAcentral. Lineage: Bacteria; Bacillati; Actinomycetota; Actinomycetes; Micrococcales; Microbacteriaceae.
ACAUGCAAGUCGAACGAUGAAGCCGGAGCUUGCUCUGGUGGAUUAGUGGCGAACGGGUGAGUAACACGUGAGUAACCUGCCCUUGACUCUGGAAUAAGCGUUGGAAACGACGUCUAAUACCGGAUACGAGCUUCCGCCGCAUGGUGAGGAGCUGGAAAGAAUUUCGGUCAAGGAUGGACUCGCGGCCUAUCAGGUAGUUGGUGAGGUAAUGGCUCACCAAGCCUACGACGGGUAGCCGGCCUGAGAGGGUGACCGGCCACACUGGAACUGAGACACGGUCCAGACUCCUACGGGAGGCAGCAGUGGGGAAUAUUGCACAAUGGGCGCAAGCCUGAUGCAGCAACGCCGCGUGAGGGACGACGGCCUUCGGGUUGUAAACCUCUUUUAGUAGGGAAGAAGCGAAAGUGACGGUACCUGCAGAAAAAGCACCGGCUAACUACGUGCCAGCAGCCGCGGUAAUACGUAGGGUGCAAGCGUUAUCCGGAAUUAUUGGGCGUAAAGAGCUCGUAGGCGGUUUGUCGCGUCUGCUGUGAAAACUGGGGGCUCAACCCCCAGCCUGCAGUGGGUACGGGCAGACUAGAGUGCGGUAGGGGAGAUUGGAAUUCCUGGUGUAGCGGUGGAAUGCGCAGAUAUCAGGAGGAACACCGAUGGCGAAGGCAGAUCUCUGGGCCGUAACUGACGCUGAGGAGCGAAAGCAUGGGGAGCGAACAGGAUUAGAUACCCUGGUAGUCCAUGCCGUAAACGUUGGGAACUAGAUGUAGGGGCCAUUCCACGGUUUCUGUGUCGCAGCUAACGCAUUAAGUUCCCCGCCUGGGGAGUACGGGCCGCAAGGCUAAAACUCAAAGGAGUUGACGGGGCCCGCACAAGCGGCGGAGCAUGCGGAUUAUUCGAUGCAACGCGAAGAACAUA